RNAcentral lists this ribosomal RNA (616 nucleotides) under uncultured fungus. Its description in RNAcentral is "eukaryotic LSU rRNA". It matches the Rfam family "Eukaryotic large subunit ribosomal RNA", at positions 37 to 668 of the family's 3401-position model. The record is from RNAcentral. Lineage: Eukaryota; Fungi.
UUCAUAUCAAAUUAGCGGAGGAAAAGAAACCAACAGGGAUUGCCCUAGUAACGGCGAGUGAAGCGGCAACAGCUCAAAUUUGAAAUCUGGUCCUUUCAGGGCCCGAGUUGUAAUUUGCAGAGGAUGCUUCGGGUACGGGUGCCUACUGAGUUCCCUGGAACGGGACGCCAUAGAGGGUGAGAGCCCCGUCUAGUAGGAUACCCAGCCCAUGUGAAGCUCCCUCGACGAGUCGAGUAGUUUGGGAAUGCUGCUCUAAUGGGAGGUAUACUCCUUCCAAGGCUAAAUACCGGCUGGAGACCGAUAGCGCACAAGUAGAGUGAUCGAAAGAUGAAAAGCACUUUGAAAAGAGAGUCAAAUAGCACGUGAAAUUGUUGAAAGGGAAGCGCUCGCUACCAGACUUGAGUUAGGCGGUUCAACCGGGGCCACGCCCCGGGGCACUCCACCUGCUCAGGCCAGCAUCAGCUUUCCGUCGGGGGCAAAGGCGUCGGGAAUGUGGCUCUCCUCCGGGAGAGUGUUAUAGCCCGGCGUGUCAUACCCUUCGGGGGGCUGAGGUACGCGCUUCUGCAAGGAUGCUGGCGUAAUGGUAGCUAGUGACCCGUCUUGAAAACACGGACAA